ACCCCAGUAGCCCAACGGGCAGAGGCAUCCGGCUCAGAACCGGUUCAGUAUAGGUUCGAAUCCUAUCUGGGGUA
This 74-nucleotide transfer RNA is filed under the name Lewinella sp. W8. It matches the Rfam family "tRNA". From Rfam's summary of the family: Transfer RNA (tRNA) molecules are approximately 80 nucleotides in length. Their secondary structure includes four short double-helical elements and three loops (D, anti-codon, and T loops). Lineage: Bacteria; Pseudomonadati; Bacteroidota; Saprospiria; Saprospirales; Lewinellaceae. The record is from Rfam by way of RNAcentral.